This 253-nucleotide ribosomal RNA is filed under the name uncultured bacterium. RNAcentral's name for it is "partial 16S ribosomal RNA". It matches the Rfam family "Bacterial small subunit ribosomal RNA", at positions 524 to 776 of the family's 1533-position model. The record is from RNAcentral.
UACGUAGGCAGCGAGCGUUGUUCGGAAUUACUGGGCGUAAAGAGUGUGUAGGCGGUGCUCUAAGUUCGGUGUGGAAUCUCCUGGCUCAACUGGGAGGGUGCGCCGGAAACUGGAGUGCUUGAGCGUGGGAGAGGAAAGCGGAAUUCCUGGUGUAGCGGUGAAAUGCGUAGAUAUCAGGAGGAACACCUGUGGUGUAGACGGCUUUCUGGACCAUAGCUGACGCUGAGACACGAAAGCGUGGGUAGCAAACAGG